AACGUAGGUUCCGAGCGUUAUCCGGAUUUACUGGGCGUAAAGCGCGUUCAGGCGGUUCGGCAAGUCGGGCAUGAAAUCUCUCGGCUCAACCGGGAGAGGUUGUCCGAUACUGUUGGACUUGAGGGCAGUAGAGGGUGGUGGAAUUCCGGGUGUAGUGGUGAAAUGCGUAGAUAUCCGGAGGAACACCAGUGGCGAAGGCGACACGCUGGGCCGUACCUGACACUGAUGCGCGACAGCAUGGGGAGCAAACAGG
Molecule: ribosomal RNA, 253 nt
Filed under: uncultured bacterium
Lineage: Bacteria
Description: partial 16S ribosomal RNA
Rfam family: Bacterial small subunit ribosomal RNA
Source: RNAcentral